AGCGCUUUAGUGUAAGGGCAGCACAUCAGAUUUUGGCUCUGAUAGUGUAGGUUCAAAUCCUGCAAGCGCCG
RNAcentral lists this transfer RNA (71 nucleotides) under Caudoviricetes sp. RNAcentral describes it as "tRNA-Gln". It matches the Rfam family "tRNA". Rfam says of the family: Transfer RNA (tRNA) molecules are approximately 80 nucleotides in length. Their secondary structure includes four short double-helical elements and three loops (D, anti-codon, and T loops). The record is from RNAcentral. Lineage: Duplodnaviria; Heunggongvirae; Uroviricota; Caudoviricetes.